UAGGGAAUCUUCGGCAAUGGACGAAAGUCUGACCGAGCAACGCCGCGUGAGUGAAGAAGGUUUUCGGAUCGUAAAACUCUGUUGUUAGAGAAGAACAAGGACGUUAGUAACUGAACGUCCCCUGACGGUAUCUAACCAGAAAGCCACGGCUAACUACGUGCCAGCAGCCGCGGUAAUACGUAGGUGGCAAGCGUUGUCCGGCUUUAUUGGGCGUAAAGCGAGCGCAGGCGGUUUCUUAAGUCUGAUGUGAAAGCCCCCGGCUCAACCGGGGAGGGUCAUUGGAAACUGGGAGACUUGGGUGCAGAAGAGGAGGGUGGAAUUCCAUGUGUAGCGGUGAAAUGCGUAGAUAUAUGGAGGAAAACCAGUGGCGAAGGCGGCUCUCUGGUCUGUAACUGACGCUGAGGCUCGAAAGCGUGGGGAGCAAACAGG
RNAcentral lists this ribosomal RNA (429 nucleotides) under Gemmatimonadota bacterium. RNAcentral's name for it is "Gemmatimonadetes bacterium partial 16S ribosomal RNA". It matches the Rfam family "Bacterial small subunit ribosomal RNA", at positions 355 to 776 of the family's 1533-position model. Lineage: Bacteria; Pseudomonadati; Gemmatimonadota. The record is from RNAcentral.